GAUGAACGCUGGCGGCGUGCCUAAUACAUGCAAGUCGAACGCUGGAGAUCUAGCUUGCUAGAUCGAAGGAGUGGCGAACGGGUGAGUAAUACAUAAGCAACCUACCCACGAAGACUGGGAUAAUCUCUGGAAACGGGGACUAAUACCGGAUAGGUAAUCGGAAGGCAUCUUCUGGUUAUUAAAGGUUAAAAACACUGGUGGAUGGGCUUAUGGCGCAUUAGUUAGUUGGUGAGGUAACGGCCCACCAAGACGAUGAUGCGUAGCCGGCCUGAGGGGGUGAACGGCCACAUUGGGACUGAGACACGGCCCAGACUCCUACGGGAGGCAGCAGUAGGGAAUUUUCGGCAAUGGGGGCAACCCUGACCGAGCAACGCCGCGUGAGUGAAGACGGCCUUCGGGUUGUAAAGCUCUGUUGUAAGGGAAGAACGGUAGAUAGAGAAUAUCUAAGUGACGGUACCUUACCAGAAAGCCACGGCUAACUACGUGCCAGCAGCCGCGGUAAUACGUAGGUGGCGAGCGUUAUCCGGAAUUAUUGGGCGUAAAGGGUGCGUAGGCGGCCUGUUAAGUAAGUGGUUAAAUUGUUGGGCUCAACCCAAUCCAGCCACUUAAACUGGCAGGCUAGAGUAUUGGAGAGGCAAGUGGAAUUCCAUGUGUAGCGGUAAAAUGCGUAGAUAUAUGGAGGAACACCAGUGGCGAAGGCGGCUUGCUAGCCAAAGACUGACGCUCAUGCACGAAAGCGUGGGGAGCAAAUAGG
Molecule: ribosomal RNA, 754 nt
Filed under: uncultured Bulleidia sp.
Lineage: Bacteria; Bacillati; Bacillota; Erysipelotrichia; Erysipelotrichales; Erysipelotrichaceae
Description: bacterial SSU rRNA
Rfam family: Bacterial small subunit ribosomal RNA
Source: RNAcentral